AUGUCAAGGUUGGGGCAUUUCCUGAAAAAAUUAUUGAACCUCUCUUAUGCUUCAUGAUAGCUUUCUAAAUCUUUCUGCUUGAAAGUGUAGACCUUAUUCCUGAUUU
This 106-nucleotide small nucleolar RNA is filed under the name Olea europaea subsp. europaea. Its description in RNAcentral is "Plant small nucleolar RNA R71". It matches the Rfam family "Plant small nucleolar RNA R71". Rfam says of the family: R71 is a member of the C/D box family of snoRNAs containing the C (UGAUGA) and D (CUGA) box motifs. Multiple nearly identical copies of this snoRNA have been identified in Arabidopsis, and it is thought to function as a 2'-O-ribose methylation guide for 18S ribosomal RNA. Lineage: Eukaryota; Viridiplantae; Streptophyta; Magnoliopsida; Lamiales; Oleaceae. The record is from Rfam by way of RNAcentral.